UUGAUACAACUAGUAAGUAAAUUCAAAAUUUUCAAGAAUCUAUGUCGAUGAUAAAACUUUAAUUUAUUAUACAACAACUUCACCAAAGUAAACUUUAAUUUAUUAAAAUAAUCACUUAGUAUUAAAAAUUUGUAUUUUGACCACUAAAUUUCAUUUACAACAAAGACCCUGAGACUUCGCCUCUGGGUCGCCCCGAUGUAUGCAUAUUACAACUAAGAAACAAAUCUGUCGUUGCAUGAUGAACUUUGGCUUGGUCUAUUCUCAAACUCUCAAAAUCCCCUAUUCACCUGUAACACAUAAUAACACAAGUAAGUUCUAAAGAAUUUAAUGAGUUUUCAUACAUUUUUGACACAACGCUAACAUGUUUGCACUUCAUUGGGGCUUCACGAUUGCCUUGCUCGUAUUAGGGUAGUACGCCAAUCUUAUUGUCCUAUUAAUUACAUCAUAUACAUUGAACUACUCAAACUUGACAAAUUUCCUUUAGUGUUACCAUUAUUUAUUUAUUCUUGCAAACUGAAGAACAAUCCAUCAUAUUUGAUUGCAGUUGAUAUGUUGUUGAUGACUUGGAAGUGGAAGAUUUCAUAAUUAGUUAUACUAAGCAUAGUAUACAUACAACUUCCACCGAUGAGAUCUGAUAGAUACAUUACCAGCAUACUGAUCUAAUAGUGAAUGAUUUCUUGGCGGAUUCCCCCUAGUAAUUCUAUUUUUCAUUAAUUUCCUUCAUAUUUUCUUAUGCAUCUAUUUCCUCAAAAGGGAAAUCCUCGCAGAUUCUUACUUUGCGAACUUGGAAAAGAUAAUCCAUAAAUAAUUCCCAUAGCACACAUUGCACCAAUGAUUACAGAUAUUCACAUAAGACCAUUCUUGGCGAAUAAUCUCUGUUGCGGGUUGUUAAGAGCGAUUUGUCUUAUUGAAAUCAAACUCGUAUUACGAUCCUCUUGGAUCCAUAAAGAAGAUACCCUUACAGCUAAAUAUAGAAAGCCUACUCAUCCCAAUCAAGUAGACAGAUCGGUCAAUACUUAUCAUUUUGCCUCUGUUUCACAAUCAGAUAGUCCACUCCUGGUGGUUAUCUCUUUGAAACAGAUAACUUGUGGGCAGAUUCUUAACAAUGAAUCCCCUAUUUGUGGAAUCAUACAUAUGACAUAGUCGUGGCGAACUUUCAUAUCUUUCUUAUACGGUUUCACAUAAACAGAUAGGUCGCAUAUAGUAAUGGAUUUCUAGAAAAUGAACUCAUUCUUGGCAGACUCAUACAAGCGGAUCAUUUCGUGCAAAAUCCCAUUUGUAAUAUAACCCUGAUAAAUUUCCACUUUUACGAUAGUCCUAACGAACUUCCCCAUUUAAGACAUUCCUGACGGACUUCCACAUUUAAAUGGUCCUAACGGGCUUCUACAUAUCAAAUAGUACUCAUAGACUUCCAUGGCCAUGGUCUUCCAUUCGUCCCAUACAGGGCUCUCAUACAUCCCACGAGGGGCACUCAAACGUCCGAUAAAGGGCUCUCAUAUACUGGUGCGCACCUUUCCCUAUACAAAUCUGAACUCUUUAAUGGCUCAGUCUAACCGAACCUCCCUUAAAGCCAUAGUAAAAAUAAAUGCAUAUGUGAUCUCUAUGCAUGUCCAUUCGAACCUCCGCAAAGCCACAGUUGUAAUUAACAUGCACAUCACAUAAAUAAUUAGCCAAUAAAUACUAUUUAUCAUAUAAUGUGUCCCAUAUCCAUCAUUCUAUCUAUGCAUCAUAUUCAUAUUUACUCACCAUACAGUUACAUCUCAUUAAGCAAUAUACAUCACGCUAAACCACUUGUCUAUCCAAUCAUGAUUAGGCUCACAACCAAACGAUAUUUGCAUUUAACAACACAUGCACACACAAGACAUUAUCACUUCGUCACAAGUUGAUUCACCAUUGGUAAAACACUAAUUCAAACAUAUUCAGUAUAUUAAUGACACAAGAUACAUUCAUUUAAGACCUGAGUCCAAAAACUUACCUGAAAGUUGACGUCAAAUCCAUCUAAUACGCUUUUCCCUUGCUACAUGAGCCUCCGACAGUUUACAAACAUAACCACCAUUUUAGAAUUCCAGUAAAGAUAAUUCAUCAUCAUAAGAAUCAUAUUUUGCUUACAUGCAAAUGCUAUUUAAAUAAUUAACAGAACAAAUUCGAUGUAUAACUAAAAUCCUUAACCUUAUUUCCUUUUCUUAAAUUCGUUAGCAUAGAAAGGUUAAUAAGCUUACCAGCUUAUGAAAUUUCUAGUUUCUAAGUCUCAAACCUCUAACUCUUCAUCCAUGCAAAAACGCUCUGUAAGCCUCCUCUCUUCCAUGGCAAACCAGAGGAAAGAUGAAGAAAGAUCAAAAAAAUGAAAGAACAAUUUUGGAGAAUAACACCUCUCUUAUAUAUAAUCCUCUUGCACAUCAUCAAUAUCAAAUCAACAACCACCUGGAAUAAUAUUAAUCAUCCUAUCUCCCACUAAGGACUAUCUAAUUCUUAAGUACCAGACUAAAGUUAAAAUUUAUUUUUUUUCUCAACUAGCCUGCCAAAAACGCUUAUUUGUAAAAAGAAUCCUCUAGAUUAGAAAACUUUUCAAUUUAAUACGCAAGUCCCCCACAUAACUUAAGACUUUAACAAGUCUGGGUGUGACAGAAAUACUUAGGUUUUCUUUGGGGAAAGAAAAGGAUC
This 2661-nucleotide long non-coding RNA is filed under the name Gossypium barbadense (sea-island cotton). RNAcentral describes it as "long non-coding RNA (GBAR_LNC014535)". Lineage: Eukaryota; Viridiplantae; Streptophyta; Magnoliopsida; Malvales; Malvaceae. The record is from RNAcentral.